RNAcentral lists this long non-coding RNA (356 nucleotides) under Capsella rubella. RNAcentral describes it as "long non-coding RNA (CRUB_LNC003855)". Lineage: Eukaryota; Viridiplantae; Streptophyta; Magnoliopsida; Brassicales; Brassicaceae. The record is from RNAcentral.
AAAAAAUAAGUUAUACCUAGAAACAGAACUUUGAUAUUUUGAUGCAGAUGAGUGGAGGUGACAAUACCACUCCACCCGAACCACAGCCGGUGACUCAGCAGUUACCUAUUAACUCUUUCUUUCCGCCGUGGAGCCGUUCCCCGUCGUCAAUCCUUCAUCAUCGACUAGGAUCAGUGUGCCUUUCUCCAUCGACUACUUUGAGCGUGAAGAGAAGAACUGAAGGCGAAAGCAUUGAAACUUUAAGCAUACACUACCAGAGUGUUUCAAUGGAAAACGAUCUCAAUGACUUCUUGAACAUACCUCUUCCUUUUCUGUUCUCUUUUUCUUUUCUUUUUUACUUAUUAAAAAAUCCCAAC